This 132-nucleotide small RNA is filed under the name Arabidopsis thaliana (thale cress). Its description in RNAcentral is "ATSL036260". The record is from RNAcentral. Lineage: Eukaryota; Viridiplantae; Streptophyta; Magnoliopsida; Brassicales; Brassicaceae.
AGUAAAUUGCUAGAGUGAAUGGUCGAGUGUGGUCAGGUGGUGUAGCGAAGUGAUACUCGACCAGGGGGUUGAGUAAUGUGGUAUAGUGAAUGGCCGAGUGUUGUCAAGUGGUGUGGCGAAGUGAUACUCGAA